UGGGGAAUCUUGCGCAAUGGGCGAAAGCCUGACGCAGCCAUGCCGCGUGAGUGAUGAAGGCCUUAGGGUUGUAAAACUCUUUCACCGGGGACGAUAAUGACGGUACCCGGAGAAGAAGCCCCGGCUAACUUCGUGCCAGCAGCCGCGGUAAUACGAAGGGGGCUAGCGUUGCUCGGAAUUACUGGGCGUAAAGGGCGCGUAGGCGGAUCAGCAAGUUGGGGGUGAAAGCCCGGGGCUCAACCUCGGAAUUGCCUUCAAAACUGCUGAUCUAGAGUACGGGAGAGGUGUGUGGAACUCCGAGUGUAGAGGUGAAAUUCGUAGAUAUUCGGAAGAACACCAGUGGCGAAGGCGACACACUGGCCCGUUACUGACGCUGAGGCGCGAAAGCGUGGGGAGCAAAACAGGAUUAGAUACCCUGGUAGUCCACGCUGUAAACGAUGAUUGCUAGUUGUCGGCAGGCAUGCCUGUCGGUGACNCAGCUAACGCAUUAAGCAAUCCGCCUGGGGAGUACGGUCGCAAGAUUAAAAACUUAAAGGAAUUGGCGGGGGUCAUAGCUGUUUCCU
RNAcentral lists this ribosomal RNA (563 nucleotides) under uncultured bacterium. RNAcentral describes it as "partial 16S ribosomal RNA". It matches the Rfam family "Bacterial small subunit ribosomal RNA", at positions 355 to 938 of the family's 1533-position model. The record is from RNAcentral.